RNAcentral lists this long non-coding RNA (568 nucleotides) under Homo sapiens (human). RNAcentral's name for it is "non-protein coding lnc-EXOSC9-48:1". The record is from RNAcentral. Lineage: Eukaryota; Metazoa; Chordata; Mammalia; Primates; Hominidae.
AGAAAUUACCCUUGUUUGGAGAACUUCAAAAAAUUAUCAGAUGAGAACUCACAGAAGGCCAGCAAACUCCACACAGUCAUGCAACCAGAGCCUCAGACAAUGGCCCCUUCUGCUGAGGACCCUUAAAUAAGCUUCUGAGGGAGACUGCCGUUUUCCCAAAACAGCGCCCCCUGUCAGCAGGAAGCAGUUAAGAUCAGUCUUCGUCCUUAUCCUUAUCCUUAUUCUAAUGGCAGUUAGAUGUACUUCUUCAGAGUGGCAGAAUUAGGUAGCCAAGUAAGAAGCGCCCCCUGGCAGAACCUCUGACCAGCUUGCCCACUGGGAGGAGUGCGCACUGGGGUGGAACGUUGGAAAGUUCACACCAUUUGCAUGGGGGAGGAGCCUGGCCUCUCCUGAUGUGGGGCGGUAACCUGGGAUUCAAUCUGUGAGGUGGGAAGCCAGCUAGCGAGACUCUCACUUCGCCGAGUGUCUCUGUUUCCCUUUUUUCCUUUUCACCCAAUAAAUUCCAUUUUUCUCACCCUUCAAAUUGUCUGCGGGGCUAAUCUUUGAUGGUCAAGUGACAAGAACCUGG